RNAcentral lists this ribosomal RNA (253 nucleotides) under uncultured bacterium. RNAcentral's name for it is "partial 16S ribosomal RNA". It matches the Rfam family "Bacterial small subunit ribosomal RNA", at positions 524 to 776 of the family's 1533-position model. The record is from RNAcentral.
UACAGAGGGUGCGAGCGUUAAUCGGAAUUACUGGGCGUAAAGCGUGCGUAGACGGCUAUCUAAGUCGGGUGUGAAAGCCCCGGGCUCAACCUGGGAAUUGCAUUUGAGACUGCUCUGCUCGGGUGCGGAAGAGGGAAGCGGAAUUUCCGGUGUAGCGGUGAAAUGCGUAGAUAUCGGAAGGAACACCAGUGGCGAAAGCGGCUACCUGGACCAGCACUGACACUGAAGCACGAAAGCGUGGGGAGCAAACAGG